GACGAACGCUGGCGGCGUGCUUAACACAUGCAAGUCGAACGGAAAGGCCCUGCUCUUGUGGGGUGCUCGAGUGGCGAACGGGUGAGUAACACGUGAGUAACCUGCCCCUGUCUUUGGGAUAACUUCAGGAAACUGGGGCUAAUACCGGAUAGGAGCUCCUGCUGCAUGGUGGGGGUUGGAAAGUUUCGGCGGUUGGGGCUGGCCUCGCGGGUUAUCCGCUUGUUGGUGGGGUAGUGGCUUACCAAGGCUUCGACGGGUAGCCGGCCUGGGAGGGUGACCGGCCACAUGGGGACUGAGGUACGGCGCAGACUCCUACGGGAGGCAGCAGUGGGGAAUAUGGCACAGUGGGCGGAAGCCUGUUGCAGCGACGCCGCGUGCGGAAUGACGGCCUUCGGGUUGUAAACCGCUUUCGCCUGUGACGAAGCGUGAGUGACGGUAAUGGGUAAAGAAGCACCGGCUAACUACGUG
This 468-nucleotide ribosomal RNA is filed under the name uncultured bacterium. RNAcentral's name for it is "partial 16S ribosomal RNA". It matches the Rfam family "Bacterial small subunit ribosomal RNA", at positions 28 to 507 of the family's 1533-position model. The record is from RNAcentral.